CACAACCAACUUCUAAAAGGCCUCCGCCCAUGACAAUGGAUGACCAGCAAGCAGCAAGCAAGCAGCCAAGCACAAGGACUCACAGUGGUGUUAUUAGAAGCCAUAUGUUCAAGAACCAAUUUGAACAAGAUCUAUAUAAAGCAGUCGCCAAAACACAAGCGGAACUCAGACGAUGCAAAAAAGCAAAAGCGGGAUUAAUACAGAAGUUACAAAUAGCCAAGAAAUUGACCCGUUCCAAAGCUUAUCAAUAUGUUACAAAAGACUUGUCACCAGCAGCAAAAACAUUUUUUGAUAUGCAAAUAAGACAAUCUACAAAACACCCCAAAGGACAUCGUUUCACAUUAGAUGAAAAGAUAUUGGCAUUAUCAUUAUAUAAACCUAGUCCAAAGGCAUAUCGCUUGCUGAGCCAAAUAUGUGUUCUGCCGAAAAAAACUACCUUGAACAAAUUAAUGACGAAAACAUAUUUAAUGCCUGGGAUAAAUGAUAUUAUCUUUAAUAAUUUAAAGAAAAGGGUAGAAAAAAUGCCUAGUAAGCAUAGAUAUUGCUCUAUAAUAUUUGACGAAAUGGCCAUUGCUGCCCAUGUUGCAUUUGAUAAACAUACCGAUAAAAUAAAAGGUUUUGAGGACGACGGAUUCGAACGCGAAAGAAAAUUUGCUGAUCACGUGUUGGUAUUUAUGGUCAGAGGAGUAUUCAAAAAAUUUAAGCAGCCUGUCGCUUAUAGCUUUUGUACUGGAUCCACAAAAACGGAGAAGCUCAAAAGGCAAUUAAAAACAGUAAUUGAAAACGUUUUAGCAACCGGACUCAAAGUCAUUUCGACAACGUGCGACCAGGGAUCCACUAAUAUGGCUGCCAUAAAUUCACUAAUAAAUGACACCAAAGGUCAUUAUAUAAGGCAGAAUCAAGAAUUUAAAGGGGGGUUUUUUGAAAUCAACGAACACAAAAUUUACCCACUAUACGACCCCCCUCAUCUUUUAAAAGGAAUAAGAAACAAUCUGAUUACAAAAAAUUUGGAAUUUACUCUGAAUGGGAAAAAGCGCACGGCAAAAUGGGCCCAUUUAGAAGCUCUAUACAAAAAGGGCCCAAGCUAUAAAGGCAUGCGCUUAAUUCCUAAACUUACCGCGCGCCAUGUAAUUCCUAAUUUAAUACCUAAAAUGAAGGUUAAAUACUGCACGGAACUUUUUAGUAAAACUGUCAGCGUUGCCAUGGGAUUUACAGCAGGAACUGGCAGAAUCCCAAAAGAAGCUCAAGAUACUGCAGAAAUUUUAUUAUUUUUCGACAAUUUGUUCGAUUCCGUAAACGGUAGUUACAACAGAAUUGAAAAGGGUAAAGUUUACCGAUCUGCGGUCUCGCCAAAGUCACCACAUCAUAAGUUGUGGUAUAAAAGUCUACCAAUAUUAAAAUCCAUGCAAUUUGUUGGUGGAGCACGCUCAGGGGUGGUUCCAUCUUUAAGAAGUUGGAUUAAAACUAUAGAAGCAUUCCAGCAAAUAACAAAAAAAUUACAUUCCAUUGGGCUCAAAUCUUUACUGCUGCGCAAUUUCAAUCAAGACCCUUUAGAAAAUUUUUUUGGUGCAAUAAGGGCUCAUGGGCAUCGAAAUAUAAUGCCUACAGUGCCGGCAUUUGAGGCUUCUUAUAAAGCGCUUUUAAUAAAUAAUAUGGUGUCGCCUAAAUCAAUUGGGGCUAAUUGCGAAAGUGAUGAUGGCUAUUGUUUACAA
Molecule: long non-coding RNA, 1712 nt
Organism: Ostrinia nubilalis (European corn borer)
Lineage: Eukaryota; Metazoa; Arthropoda; Insecta; Lepidoptera; Crambidae
Exons: 3
Source: RefSeq, a predicted model, not a curated record